UCAGUUCGGACUGUAGGCUGCAACUCGCCUACACGAAGCUGGAAUCGCUAGUAAUCGCGGAUCAGCACGCCGCGGUGAAUACGUUCCCGGGCCUUGUACACACCGCCCGUCACACCAUGAGAGUCUGUAACACCCAAAGCCGGUGGGAUAACCUUUAUAGGAGUCAGCCGUCUAAGGUAGGACAGAUGAUUAGGGUGAAGUCGUAACAAGGUAGC
This 215-nucleotide ribosomal RNA is filed under the name uncultured bacterium. Its description in RNAcentral is "partial 16S ribosomal RNA". It matches the Rfam family "Bacterial small subunit ribosomal RNA", at positions 1288 to 1500 of the family's 1533-position model. The record is from RNAcentral.